UACAUAAAUCUCCAAUAUAAGUUUCCAGGCAACCACAUCCAUCGUUCAUCCAUAGAUCAUCCAUUCCUCCAAGACCAGUUUCUUGAUUUCACAAAGUUUUUCCACAAAAUUUAGUUGCAAUAGUUUUUUUUCCAGUUCAGAUUUCUGCUUCCAUUCACUUUUGUUUUCCUUUUUCAUUUCACCACACAUUUAGCUGACAGUAAGAAAUGUCAAACGUUUCGUCGAUUAUUUCGACGGGUCGAUUAGUCGGAAUACAGUAGAGGCCGUUGAAAUGGGGAUACCGUAGGUUGAUGUCAUUUGGAACUGUGAUAGUUCCAGCUACAAAGAUGAGUUUUGAGUCAAUUGUUCGGAUGUGUCCGGAUAGUCCCAGUGAUGGUUAUGAGAUUCGUUAAGGUAAUGGUCGAGAGAUUUCUUGACGGUACACAGAAAAAUGCGUUGCGAAGUCACGCAAGAGGAUUUUUAAUUGUGGUUCCCCAUUUAUAGGCUUCAGUAUAAUUAGAAAAAAAAGGUAGAUAGUUGAAAUUUCGGUACAGUUAAAUAUGAAGUUUCGUAAAAAAAUAUCUUAAAGUAUAAGCAAACAGUUAAUGAAUUAGAAGUUUAAUCAUGUAUAUAUGCAGCAACACAUAGAGCUAUUAUAGAACAAAGUAUUUUAAACAGCAAAUGACUAGUUUUUUUUUUUAAUUCAAAAAAAUAAAUUCAGUCUCCUCAUUUAUUUUUUUUGGUUGGUAGGGGGAAGUGUAACGAGGUUACAGAAUUUCAAUGUAAUCUUAUAUUACAAAUCGGCCAUAAAAUAAAUGUAAUAUGUUCUCCGUGUAAGCUUACUCGCGUUCCUGGUCUCUGAUCCCAUAAGUUGCAAAAUCACAGUAGAGUCCUGGUCAAAGCUGGAAACUUGCGUUCUAAAAGGAAGUACCCGACAAAUGACGAACAUUUACGAGCUCGGGUAUCGUCGGAACAGGGCAUAGGCCUGAUAAUCUGAAACAGCCAUUCUCUCAAGUCUAAGUCGUCAAGCAGUUCAGACCCCCCUACUGCGAUAAGCAAAAAGUUGGAAAUUAUAAAAGUGCCUAGGAAAUCAAACAAAUUGUAUAGAAGCUAUUCGAAAGUGACGAGUGUAUAACUGUUUUCGCAAAAAUUCGCUAGGAAAACGUGUUACGAGCGGGAACCAUUCUAUAAAAAACUACUGUGCCUUUCCGCUAUUGUGCUAUCAGGAUUUCCUUCAAGUGAAGGUCCACCCCUAGGGCGAGACAAAUUGGUCCAAAGUCACGGACAGCCACAAUGUUCGUCGACGGUUGCUGGGCCGAUGAGACCGAUGCCAGUGCAGCAUAAUCAGCAUCGUCGAAGUAGCAGGUGACAGUUAGCCAAGACUCGUAUUCACCACGGCCAACAUAAGCAGGUGAGAACCAACCACGUUACGCUGUGUACCGCUACGAAGUUGACGUGACGUCCAGCACAUGACGUUCAUGUUUCGCUCGGUUGCCGCUAGUUGCCCAUAGAGGGCCGACCGAACAUUAGAUUUUCAAAUUGCGGCACGAGCAACCACCCGAUUAAAAAGGGAUUCCGGCAAAGUGAAUCGAAUCAGCGGAAAGAUUUGUUGCGUCUCCUGAAAGGCAUCGUAGGAUCUGGAAGUGGAUGGGUCAGGACAAAGGAAGUCGAAAAGAGAAUGAGAACAAGUAAGCACUAUAAAAAUUGUAAAUACUAACCCGUAGAUUGUAAGCUGAUUAUUAUACCGUGAGAAGGGAGAUGAAAGUCGAUCGCAUUUUGAACUGAAUUUUGAAUAAAUAAGAUCUUAAGAAUUUGGCAA
Long non-coding RNA from Aedes albopictus (Asian tiger mosquito), 1798 nucleotides. RefSeq lists it as uncharacterized. The transcript is spliced from 3 exons. Lineage: Eukaryota; Metazoa; Arthropoda; Insecta; Diptera; Culicidae. The record is from RefSeq and is a predicted model, not a curated record.